This 435-nucleotide ribosomal RNA is filed under the name uncultured bacterium. RNAcentral describes it as "bacterial SSU rRNA". It matches the Rfam family "Bacterial small subunit ribosomal RNA", at positions 43 to 524 of the family's 1533-position model. The record is from RNAcentral.
CAGGCCUAACACAUGCAAGUCGAACGAUGCUUUCGGGCAUAGUGGCGCACGGGUGCGUAACGCGUGGGAAUCUGCCCUUGGGUCUGGGAUAACAGUUGGAAACGACUGCUAAUACCGGAUGAUAUCGCGAGAUCAAAGAUUUAUCGCCUGAGGAUGAGCCCGCGUUGGAUUAGGUAGUUGGUGGGGUAAAGGCCUACCAAGCCGACGAUCCAUAGCUGGUCUGAGAGGAUGAUCAGCCACACUGGGACUGAGACACGGCCCAGACUCCUACGGGAGGCAGCAGUGGGGAAUAUUGGACAAUGGGCGCAAGCCUGAUCCAGCAAUGCCGCGUGAGUGAUGAAGGCCUUAGGGUUGUAAAGCUCUUUUACCCGGGAUGAUAAUGACAGUACCGGGAGAAUAAGCCCCGGCUAACUCCGUGCCAGCAGCCGCGGUAAU